UAACACGUAGGAGCCUAGCGUUAUCCGAAUUUACUGGGCGUAAAGCGCGUGUAGGCGGUUCGAUAAGUUGGAUGUGAAAGCUCCUGGCUCAACUGGGAGAGGUCGUUCAAUACUGUUGGACUUGAGGAUGGUAGAGGAAGGUGGAAUUCCCGGUGUAGUGGUGAAAUGCGUAGAUAUCGGGAGGAACACCAGUGGCGAAAGCGGCCUUCUGGACCAUUCCUGACGCUCAGACGCGAAAGCUAGGGGAGCGAACGGG
Molecule: ribosomal RNA, 256 nt
Filed under: uncultured bacterium
Lineage: Bacteria
Description: partial 16S ribosomal RNA
Rfam family: Bacterial small subunit ribosomal RNA
Source: RNAcentral